Molecule: ribosomal RNA, 33 nt
Filed under: Sclerotinia sclerotiorum
Lineage: Eukaryota; Fungi; Ascomycota; Leotiomycetes; Helotiales; Sclerotiniaceae
Description: partial 28S ribosomal RNA
Source: RNAcentral
UCUGCCAAAACACUAAUUUUCUAGUGUUACCUC